CCUACGGGAGGCAGCAGUGAGGAAUAUUGGUCAAUGGACGAGAGUCUGAACCAGCCAAGUAGCGUGAAGGAUGACUGCCCUAUGGGUUGUACACUUCUUUUAUAUGGGAAUAAAACAGGGUAUGCAUACCCUCUUGUAUGUACCAUAUGAAUAAGGAUCGGCUAACUCCGUGCCAGCAGCCGCGGUAAUACGGAAGAUCCGAGCGUUAUCCGGAUUUAUUUGGUUUAAAGGGAGCGUAGGUGGAUUGUUAAGUCAGUUGUGAAAGUUUGCGGCUCAACCGUAAAAUUGCAGUUGAAACUGGCAGUCUUGAGUACAGUAGAGGUGGGCGGAAUUCGUGGUGUAGCGGUGAAAUGCUUAGAUAUCACGAAGAACUCCGAGUGCGAAGGCAGCUCACUGGACUGCAACUGACACUGAUGCUCGAAAGUGUGGGUAUCAAACAGGAUUAGAUACCCUUGUAGUC
This 460-nucleotide ribosomal RNA is filed under the name uncultured bacterium. Its description in RNAcentral is "partial 16S ribosomal RNA". It matches the Rfam family "Bacterial small subunit ribosomal RNA", at positions 338 to 795 of the family's 1533-position model. The record is from RNAcentral.